AAUAAUUAAAAAAAGGAAACCUAUUGAUUUUUCCCAGUCAAAUCAAACAGCCUAGCCACCAUUAAUUCUAUCGUUUUUUCAUAUCACCAACUUCGUCUGCUCAGCAGAUAGCCCUUCCAAAAAAGAUUUUUCAUUUGCCUGCUAUCUUUGACUACUCCAUUUCUUCACUACAAAUGGUUUCAGUCUAGAUUUCUUCUCUAUCUUCCUUAUAGAGCCAGAUCUCUGUGGUUUAGCUCUUCCCCCACCAGGUACAAUUCUUCCCUUCUUUCGAGUGCUUCUUUUGCUAGUUUAUGGGUGAGUAUUCUUUGAUCUAUGGAUAAACUGGAAAGUAACCUCUUGAAUCCUAGUUCUUUUACUCCGAAUAUCUCUAAUACUUGUUCCAAGUACUGAUUUGUCCACUUCUAUCGAUUGACAUUUUUUGAUGAUUAUUUUUGAAUCUCCCAUUAUUAUUGCUGAAGUUAAACCCAUUAAUAAUACUAACUUGAUGGCUUUUAACCCUGCAUGAGCUUCUGCUGGAAACAGGGAUGAGAUAUUAUAAUGGAGAAUCGUCUUUGAGGCUUUAAACUCACCCAUCUGGUCCCGAACCACAAAACCUAAAGUCGAUCUAAAACAUCUUUUGUCAAAAGCUGUAUCAAACUGUAUCAUAGCCCUCGUUGUCGCCCCUAUUUGAUGGUAAACUCUUUCGGUAUUAAAGGUAAUCUUUUUUCCUCGCACCCCUUCGAGUUCUGCUAUAUAUAUUUUGAUUUUUUGUGACAAAUCCCUAUCUGAAAUGGAUUUUCUUUCAUGAACAUACUGGUUCCGUGAGCUCAAAAUGAACCAUAAAGCACAACAACAAGUUGAUGUGAACAAAUCGUGAUAAAUUUUAUAAUUUAUGAAUGUCCGUUCUUGAAAAUUAACUAUUAUCACGACAAAGGCAAGCGCACCUUAUCGAACAGUAGUAUAGUUUAUGGCAAGACCGGGAUGUCGAACCCAAAGAAACUAAAAGUACUAGUAUUAACUUUAACUUUAUUAUCUAGCCUAAAAAUAAAGGGGUUUGUUUUAUCUAAACUAAUUACUAAACUAAGAAUGCACAUAAAGUAAAUUAGGGAAAUAACUUUUGAGAAAACUGAUUGAUUAAGACAAUACCCAAGGAAAAAUUCACCUACACUUCACUUGUUAUUUGACUCUGAAUCAGACGAUUUAUUCAUUUGACUUAAUCUGUAGAAAUCCCUAAUUUAUAUUAUUACCUCUCUCGAGACUAAUAACGUCUAACCCUAGGUUGAUUAAUUGAAAUCACUUCCUAAUUAAUUCCCUAGUGUUGCAUUAACUCGAUCUAUGGAUUCUCUUAUUAGGUUUCACCCUAAUCCGGUAAAAUCUUGUCACCCUAUCUCUAGGCGUGCAAUCAAAUUUGCUCAAUUUUGCUAGAUCUACUCUUAGACAGGGACUUUUGCUCCUCUGAAUAAGCACAUCAAAACUUGAAUCAAUAUCCUGGAAUAUUAAAACAAGAAUUAAGAACACAUAAUUAAGAACAAGUCAAAUAUUAGCAUACAAUUCAGAUAAUAAUAACAAGAUCCGUCUUAGGUUUCAUUCCCUUUAGGUAUUUAGGAGGUUUAGUUCAUAUUUAUGAAAGAAAACAUCUCAAAAGAAUAAUGAUAACAAAACAUAAAGAAAACCAAAGAACUCUUAAAGGGAAUUGAAGGGAGAUCUUCAGUCUUGAAGGUGAAUCCGGCUUCUGAGAUGGAUCAAUCGGCUUUCUUCGAGUAAUUCCUUGCCUCCUACUCCGUGUGUCCUCUCUAAUCAUCCUCUAGUGUGUUUAAAUAGGCUUUAGAAUGCCUAAAAGCCCUCAAGAGUGGCUUUUUCCGAAUAGGACUAAACUUGGGCUCGACAGGGACACGCUCGUGUGACACGCCCGUAUUCGAUUUCUUCAAUCUGUGUUCAAGGUUGUCAAACUAACACGGACGUAUGGUCUACUUGUGUAAGUUGUGCUCGAUUCUGCUAAAAGGACACGGGUGUGUGGUUUGUUCGUGUACGAAAGUCCAGGCCGUGUUGAUUUCACAUGUUGGUCUAUUUUCUCUGUUUUCGGCCCGUUUCUCACUCUUUUUACUCUCCUAUGCUCACCUAAGUAUAAGACAUGAAAUUAAAGGAUUAAGAGCUUCGAAUUCACCAAAUCUAAGGAGAAAUCAUCCAUAAAUGUACUAAGCAUGGGAUAAAAAUAUGUAUAAAUUACGGUUUAUCAAAUACCCCCACACUUAAGCGUUUGCUUGUCCUCAAGCAAAAUCCUCAACUCAUAAUUAAGAAUUCAUUUUUCUUAACUUAUAAUUCCUAUCAAUAAUGUCUUAAAAUAAUCCAUAAGUAAUCAUACAUUGAGAAUUCAACUAGAAAAAUAUCAAAGUUUCAAACAUUCUAAGUUGAGCAUUUUAUCACGAAAACAUAGGUGUCUCCCCUCAUCUAAGUGAUUACCUUUGAUUCAAAAUAUCACAGAGUUUUAACAUCCUUACUAAAGAUUCACUCAAAUCACUCGAGGUGUUUAAGGACAACAAGUUAGGCAUUCAAUAGUCAAUAUGAAAAGUUAUUACCAUAGGCUUGCAUGAAAAUCAAAUCUCCAUCACUAUAUAUUAAGAUGAAACAUCAAUCAAAAGGUUUUUAGAGGGUUGUAACGUGGCUUUGGUUAGGGGGUGUGGUCACAAGCUGAAAGAAAAUGUUAGAAUCGAGAUUGAAUUGAAAAAUUAUCUAACUAGAAAAAUAACUAAUCAUCAAUUGAAUACAAGUGAGCUUUUUCUCAGAAUAUGGAUUUAAACUUUUAAGCUCAAAAACAAAGAAUUACUACUAAUAUGUAUUUUUUUAAGCAAGUCAAGUAACAUAGACUAGCUAUCAAAAAUAAAACAUAGUUAAGUAAUUUACUCAAAUUAAAUCUCGACAAAAAUAGGGAUCAAAUUAACUUAGGGGAUUUUAACAAUAAUGGGUUAUGGGUUAAUGUUGAGGGUAAAUCAAUUAAUGGCUUGUUAGGCUCAAGGGGGUUCACUAAGGGUUAAUUGUGAAGGUAGGUUUUUAUGAAGUGAGUGGGUUAAACCUAAAUGCCUUUAUCAUAUUGACAUAUCAAAUCAAAGGUGUGGUCUUGACAUGCAUAAUCAAGUAAGUUCUAGAAUAACAGUUCAAUAUUGACGCACUCAAAGCAACAAUAAAAGUGAGCAUGAAAGAAAUAAUAGAUGCUCUAAAAGCUCAAGAUCUCACAAAAAUUAUGAUUUUUUUAUGUUUAAACGGGUGAAUUUUAACUCAAGAUAAUACCUAAACUUGGGGAAACAACCUAAAAAUUUUUAAAUCUCAAAAAUCAACUUAUCAUGCUUGAUUCUCUAAUUCCUUAAAGUUUAAACAAUCAAUACAUGAAUGCCUAUGUUUUAAUUUAAGAGAUAUCAAUAAAAACCAUAAAUUAAUCAAAAUUCAUUCUAAUAAUGAUAUGAGAAGAUCACAUGAGAAUAAGACAAUUCAGGGAUUUUUCUAAUAAUGAUAUAAAUGCCCCCCACACUUAAAAUGUAUAUUGUCAUCAAUGUACAAAGAUGUAUAAUAGUAAUAUAAAGAUAAUAUUAAAAGAGAGGGAGGGAAGUGAAACUGCCCUAAAAUUGUGGACGAUGUCCUUGGAUUAGCGAGAGCGAGAAUUGAAUAAAAAGCUGAAAGGGAUGCAUGAUUUUGAGGGAUAAAUGAGAAGACACCACUGUGAAGGAGAAUUAAGGGAAUAAUUCGAUGAUAACCAUAAAGGGAGGUAGAAUAUAAGACGAAGGUCUUCAAAAGUAAAUAAGAGACAAUGGAAUAAAAAUAGAAACAAAGAUAAAAAUAAAAAUAAAAAUAAUAGUAAAACACGCACGCAUGUGUUCUUCGGGGCGUGUUGGUGCACAUGGUCGUGUUAUUUUGACAAUUUCAACCACGGGUGGUGGGCACGGGCAUGUUGCAUGCCUGUGUUAAUUUCUCAGUUUUAUCCAUGGGAUGUGGGCACGGGCGUGCCGGCUGCCCGUGUUAAUUCAUUCGCUUAUCCCACGCCCGUGUUUAUGUGCCCACGUCUGUGUUGAUUUUUCAAUUUUGAACAUGGUUUAUAGACACGGACGUGUUGUACGCCCAUGUUAAUUUGGCAGGAUUUCCCACGGCCAUGUCGAACAGCCGUCGCAAUGUAUCGAAUCUCGUAUUUUGGGAAAAAAUUUACUCUACUUUCACACGACUGUAUCACACGUCCGUGUCUCUUCCGGUAGUAUGAGCACGCCCGUGGGUUAGGCCGUGUUUGCCAUUAUCAAAUGUUAACAUUUCCUGCAGUUAGACUAUGAAUAGUUAAAGAAAAAUUAAACCCUAUUUAGUGAGGUUAGUGCUUGGGUUGCCUCCCAAGAAGUGCUUAUUUAGAGUUUAAGUUCGACUCUGCCUUGUGGGUAUAUUUAGGGGGUUCGUGGAACCGUAGCUCCUCUCUAUCAUCUUUGAAAUUCUCAUCGUUAUAAAAUUUUAGGCUAUGUCUAUUUACCUUGAAGGUGCCUUUGUGAUGGAUGGCUUACCUCUAUUGUGCCAUAUGGAAAGACAUUUUGGACUACGAAAGGACCUGACCGCCAUGAUUCAAGCUUCUUCGGGAAUAAUUUGAGCCUCGAGUUAUAUAACAAGACAAGAUCUCCCACUUCAAAUUGCUUGCGUUGUUUUAAACGAGUGUCAUGGCGGUGUUUCGUUGCUUCCUUGUAUAGGCGUAAAUUCUCAUAUGCAUUGGUUCACCACUCAUCUAACUUGUUCAAUUGCAUCAACCUCUUUUCACUUGUAUGUUUGGGAUCGAAGUUUAGAAAUUUUAUAGCCCAGAAUACCUUGUGUUCUAACUCAAAUGGUAGAUGACAACUUUUUCCAUAAACAAGUCUGUAAGGUGAUGUUCCUAUGGGGGUCUUAAAAGCGGUUCUAUAAGCCCAUAAAGCAUCAUCUACUUUCAUCGCCCAAUCCUUCCUGUUUAACUCUACUGUCUUUUCUAAGAUAAUUUUAAGCUCUCGAUUUACUACUUUGACUUGGCCACUAGUUAGAGGGUGGUAAGGGGUGACUAUUGAUCGCGUGAUUUUGUGUGGUAAGUUUUAAAUAUUUAUAAUUAAUCAUUUUUGAAACUAACUAUUAUUGCGAUGCAGGCAAGUGUACCUAUCGAACAGUAGUAUAGUUUUAGCAAGACCGGAUUGUCGAACCCAAAGGAACUAAAAGUACUAGUUAAUGACUGUCUUUUUAUUAUCUAGCCUAAGAAUAAGGGGGUUUUGUUUUAACUAACUAAUUAACUAAUCUAAGAAUUCACAGAGAAUGGAAUUGGGGGAUUACUUUUGGAAAGUAAUUGAAUUAAGACAAUACCUAAGGAAAAAUCCACUUAGACUGUACUUGUUAUUCUGGCUCCGAAUUGGACGAUUUAUUCAUUUACUUAUUCCGUAGAGAUCCCUAAGUUAUGUUAUUAUCUCUAUUCAAGACUAAUAACGUCUAAUCCUUAGAUUGAAUAAUUGAGACUUUUCUCUAAUUAACACCUUAGGAUUGCAUUAACUCGAUUUAUGGAUCCUCUUAUUAGGUUUCACCCUAAUUCGGUAAAUUCUUGUCACUCUAUGUCUAGGCACGCAAACAACUCUGCUUAAUUAUGACAAAUGUACUCGUAGACAGGUCUAUUCCUCCUCUAAAUAAGAGUUUAUCUUGAAUCAGUAUCCUGGGAUAUCAAAACAAGAAUUAAGAACACAUAAUUAAGAAUAAGUUAAAUAUUUAUCAUACAAUUCAGAAAAUAAUAAUAAGAUUCGUCUUAGGUUUCAUUCCCCUUAGGUAUUUAGGGGAUUUAGUUCAUAAUUAAAAAGGAAAACAUCUCAGAAUAAAGAAUACAAAACAUAAAGAAAACCCAAAACUCCUAAAGGGAAAUUAAGGGGAGAUCUUCAGUCUUGAUGGUGAUUCCAGCUUCUAAGAUGGAUCAAUCGGCUUCCUUCGAGUAAUUCCUUCUUUCCUCUCUGUGUGUCCCCUUUUCUCUUCUUUUAAGGCGUAUUUAUAGGCUUUAGAAUGUCAAAAAACCUUAAAAUUAGUCUUUUUCAAAUUGGACUCAACUUGGGCUCGGCAGGGGCACGCCCGUGUGACACGCCCGUAUGAAUCGUACUUUGAAUCUGCCAAAUUGACACGGUCGUGUGGUCUGCCCUUGUGAGGAAGUCCAGGCCGUGUUGAUUUCGUACGUUAGCUCAUUUUCUCUGUUUUUGGCCCGUUUCUUGUUCCUUUCGCUCUCCUAUGCUUUCCUAAGUAUAAAACAUGAAAUUAAAGCAUUAGGAGCAUUAAAUUCACCAAUUCUAAGGGAAAAUUAUCCAUAAAAUGUGUUAAGCAUGGGGUAAAAAUAUGUAUAUAUUACGGUUUAUCAACUAUUCUGUGGUGAACACCGUUUUUCUUACGGGUCUUGUCAAAUUGGGCAUUACAAAAAUGAGUACCUCUAUCACUAAUAAUUGCUUUAGACGUUCUAAAUCGAGAGAAAAGUUUCUUAAAGAAUCGUACUACUACUCUAGCAUCAUUAGUAGGUAAAGCUUAGGCUUCAACCCAUUUGGACAUAUAAUCAACAACUACUAAGAUGUACUUAUUCCCAAAUGAACUAGAGAAUGGACCCAUGAAGUCGAUACCCCAAACGUCAAAUAUUUCACAUGAGAGCAUAUAUGUCUGAGGCAUUUCAUCACGUUUGGAGAUAGUACCUAUCCGUUGGCAUUUGUCACAAGAAGUAACAUACCUGUUGGCGUUUUUGAAUAGAGUGGGCCAAUAAAAACCUGAUUUGAGGAUUUUAUGUGCAGUAUUUGAGGAUUUUGUGCAGUCUUAUUUCCAUUGUAACAUCCUCUAGUCGGUCCUGAGUGGCAAUGUUCUAAGAUCUUUAAUACUUCUGUCCUCGUAACGCAUCUCCUAAUGACUUGAUCUGCACAUAUACAGAAAAGAAACGGGUCUUCCCCAAAGUAGUUUUUCACAUCAGUAAAGAAUCGCUUCUUUUGCUGAUGUGUCAACCUUUUGGGAUAAAUUAGCGGCUAAAAAAUUUGCAAUGUCUGUAAACCAAGGUACCUCAGAAUUAGAUAUAGCAAAAAAUUGUUCUUCAAGAAAUGAAUCAUUUAUUUCAACGUCAUCUAGCUUUUUGGUACUUGAAUUUUAAAGCCUAGAGAGAUGGUCAACCGCGAGAUUUUCAGGUCUUUUCUUAUCCUUAAUCUCCAAGCCAAAUUCCUACAAUAAUAAAAUCUAUCGAAUGAGUCAAGGUUUUGUAUAAGUUUUAGUCAAAAGGUAGCGAAGAGCAGAAUGGUCAGUAUAAACGACAACUUUAGACAAUAUUAGAUAUGACCUAAAUUUAUCGAAUAAAAAAACCACAGCUAGUAGCUCUUUUUCCGUGGUGGUGUAGUUUUCUUGUGCGGCUGUUAAAGUUUUGCUAGCGUAAUAGAUAGGUUGAAAAUGUUUAUCUCUUCGCUGUCUCAAAAUUGCACCUACUGCAAAAUCUCUCGCAUCGCACAUUAGUUCAAAAGGCGAAUUCCAAUCAGGUGCAAUUAUAAUUGGAGCUUUAGUCAGUUUAUCAUUUAAAGUAUUAAAUGCUUCUAAACAUUCCUGAUUGAAAUUAAAAGGCACAUCUUUUUCUAGUAAUUUAGUCAAAGGCUUAGCUAUUUUAAAAAAAGUCUUUAAUAAAUCUUCUCUAAAACCCAGCAUGUCCUAAAAAGCUUCUAAUAGCCUUAACCGAAUUAUGGGGAGGUAGUUUUUCAAUGGUUUCAAUUUUAGAUUUAUCAACGCCAAUCCCUUUACUAGAAAUUUUAUGUCCUAACACAAUACCUUCUUGAACCAUAAAGUGAUAUUUUUCCUAGUUAAGCAUAAGGUUUGUUUCCUCACAUCUUAUUAACACAUUUUAAAUUUUUAAGGCAAAGAUGGAAAGAGUUAUCGAAAAUUGAGAAAUCAUCCAUAAAUACCUUCAUGACGUCUUCUACGGGUUCGUAAAAAAUGGCCAUCAUGCAGCAUUGAAAAGUAGCAGAGCAUUACAUAAUCCAAAAGGCAUUCUACGAUAAGUAAAUGUACCGUAUGGACAUGUAAAUAUCGUCUUUUCUUCAUCUUCAGGAGAUAUUGGGAUUUGAAAAUAACCAGAGAGUCCGUCUAAAAAGUAGUAGUACAUGUGCCCUGACAAUCUUUCCAAUAUUUGGUCAAAGAAUGGAAGGGGGAAGUGAUCUUUUCUCGUGGCAUCAUUUAGCUUCCUAUAAUCAAUGCAAAUUCUCCAACCUGUGACUGUCCUUGUUGGGAUUAAUUCAUUCUUCUCAUUGGCUACAACAGUCAUGCCUCCUUUCUUAGGAACAACCUGCACUAGACUUACUCAAUGACUGUUAGAAAUAGGAUAAAUAAGUCCAGCAUCUAGAAGUUUAAUUACCUUAGCUUUAACAACUUCCUUCAUGUUGGGGUUCAGUCGUCUUUAGGCUUGUACGCAUGGCUUAUAUUCAUUUUCUAUUAAAAUUUUAUCGAUGCAAAAAGAAGGGCUGAUCCCUUUAAUGUCAGAAAUUUUCCAAGCUAUGGCCCUUUUAUGCUCUCUUAAGACUUGGAGUAAUUCUUAUUUCUCUUUGGGUUGCAAGUUAGACGCAAUAAUUACCGGUAAUGUAGAAUUAUUUCCAAGGAAUGCAUAUUCCAAGUGAUUCGACAAUUAUUUAAGUUCCAGUUUUGGAGGUUCUUCAAUAGAGGGUUUUUGCUUAAGUUUAUCGUUUACCUUAAUACCCUCAUAUUCUGCUGGUCUUGGGGAGGGUUCAUUGGAAUUCAGUUUAGUUCUUAUCUCAGAAUUAUCAUCCCCCUACUCUUCUUGGACAAGACACAGUUCCAACGUGUCCUUAUGUAUAAUUUCCUGAAAAGAAUCUUGAGUAGCAUAAUUAAUAGAGUCAAUAAAAUAACAUGAGUCAUCUUGUUCCCUAGAAAAUCUCAUGGCAUCAUAAAUUUUAAAGAUAAUUUCUUUGUCACAUACUCUAAGUACCAAUUUACCAUCACCCAUGUAAAUAACAGCCCUAACAGUGGCUAAAAAUGGACGACCUAAGAUUAAAGGCGCUUCAACAUCCUCAUCCAUGUCAAGCACAACGAAAUCAACAGGAAAUAUAAAUUUAUCUACUUUUACAAGUACAUCUUCUAUAAUUCCCCUAGGAUAUUUAACAGAUCUAUCAACUAAUUGAAUACUUAUCCUAGUGGGUUUAGGUUCCCCAAGACCAAGUUAUUUAAACAUUUUAUAUGGCAUCAAAUUAAUGCUAGCGCCUAAAUCAGCUAAUGCCUUAUCAACAUUCAAACUACCAAUUAAAUAGGGAAUAGUAAAACUUCAUUGGUCUUUCAGUUUGGUUGACAGUUUAUUUUGGAGUAUGGCCGAGCACUCCUCAUUAAGUUCCACUGUAGAUAAGUCUUCAAACUUCUUUUUGUUUGUUAGAAGCUCCUUUAAAAAUUUUGCAUAUAUAGGCAUCUGCGAUAUAGCUUCAACAAAAGGUAAGUUAAUAUGCAGUUGUUUAAAAAGUUCAAGAAAUUUACCGAAUUGUGCAUCCAUGUGGUCUUUCUUCAACUUUGCUGGAUAUGGGAUUGGUGGUUUAUAUUGCUUUGGCAUUAGAUUAUCAUUGUUUUCGGGUUUUUCCUCCUCUCAUUUGUCUCUUUCAGCUUCUUGUGGUGGCUUCUUUUUGGAUUCAACUAACACCUGCCCAUUCCUUAGUGUAACUGCUUUUACAUGCUCUUUUGGAUUUGGUUCGGUGUUACUAGGUAAACUUCCUGGCCAGCUGCCCAAUUUGAUUUUGGAGUCCUUAGAUCGACGUUUGCUGAUUUUUAAGUGCAGUUUCAGUGUUCUAAAAACGGGUUUCUGCUACGGAAAUAAAUUGACAUCUUCUCCUCAAGGUUCGGCUUUUUCUCUUGCUGGUAAAGUUGUUGGAAACCUAGAGAAUGUUGUGGUCUCUGAUUUUCUUGGCCUCUAUGAAAAAUUUGGGUGGUUCCUCCAACUUGCAUUGUAAGUGUUAUUAUAAGGAUUAUUUUGAGGUCGAAGAUUAUUACCCAUAAAAUUUAGUUGCUCGUGUUUCAUGUUGUGGCCAUAAGGUAGGUAUUCUGAAUUGCUCGUUCCAUCUCCAUUUGUAUUGCAUUGCAUUACUGGGUGAACCUGUGAAGAGCUAAGUAAAUCAUCAAUUUUUUUAUUCAAAAGUUCUACCUGAUUAGAGAGCAUGGUGAUUGAAUCGGUGAUAAAAACGCCGGCUACUUUCGAUGGCUUUGUCCUCAUGACUUGCCACUGAUAAUUAUUCAGUAACAUCUCCUCUAUAAAUUUAUAAGCCUUCUCAGGUGUCUUAUUAUUGACAGUCCCAUCAGCAGCUGCGUCAAUCAUCUGUCUAGUCGAAGGAUUCAGGCCGUUGUGAAAUGUUUGAACCUGUAACCAUAAAGGCAGCCCAUGAUGAGGGCACUUUCUCAAAAGGUCCUUGUAUCUCUCCCAUGCAUCAUAGAGUGUUUCUAGAUCCAUCUGCACAAAAGAAGAGAUAUCAUUCCUUAAUUUCGCCGUUUUAGCCUGCGAAAAAUAUUUAAGUAAAAACUUUUCGGUCAUUUGUUCCCAAGUAGUGAUUGACCAUCGUAGUAAUGAGUUCAACCACUGUUUAGCGUUAUUCCUCAAUGAAAAAGGGAAUAACCGAAGGCGAAUGACAUCAUCAGAAACGCCAUUGAUUUUAAAACUAUCGCAAAACUCCAAAAAAUUUGCCAGGUGAUUGUUUGGAUCCUCAUCCUACAAACCAUCAAACUGAACAAACUGUUGUAUCAUUUGAAUUAUGCUAAGUUUCAGUUCAAAAUUAUUUGCAGCAAUAGCAGGUCUAACUAUACUUGACUCAGUUCCUGUUAAAUUCGGUUUAGCAUAAUCAUACAUAGCGCGUGGAGUAGGAUUCUGAUUUACCGGAUCAGUAGCAAUUGUAAGAGGUAGCGGAUUUUCCUGAUUUUCAGCCAUCUUCUCGGUUGUGGUGUGAAUGUCGUCCUCUUGCUAUUCCUCUGUGUAUCUUAGGCUUCGCCUUAUUUCUUUUCAGUUUCUGUGAGCUGUGUGAUCGGUCUCACUAUUAAAAAGUAAUGGUCCCAACGGGUUUCUUCUAGCCAUACACUAUAAAAACCUUCCAGAAGCGAAUAAACGAAAAAUUAGAAAAGAAAGUAAAAAUUUAAAUUGCAAUAAAAGUAAAAUGGCUAAAGUAAUAAAAAUCGAGUGUUCUUAAUAUCUUAGUUCCUCGGCAACGGCGCUAAAAACUUGAUUUGAACAAAUUGUGAUAAGUUUUAUAAUUUAUGAAUGUCCGUUCUUGAAAACUAACUAUUAUCACAACAAAGGCAAGCGCACAUUAUCGAACAGUAGUAUAGUUUAUGGCAAGACCGGGAUGUCGAACCCAAAGGAACUAAAAGUACUAUUAUUAACUUUCUUUUUAUUAUCUAACCUAAAAAUAAAGGGUUUUUUUUAUCUAAACUACUUACUAAACUAAGAAUGCACAGAAAGUAAAUUGGGGAAAUAACUUUUGAGAAAACUGAUUGAUUAAGACAAUGCCCAAGGAAAAAUCCACCUAGACUUCACUUGUUAUUUGACUCUGAAUCAGACGAUUUAUUUAUUUGACUUGAUCUUUAGAAAUCCUUAGUUUAUAUUAUUAUCUCUCUCGAGACUAACAACGUCUAACCCUAGGUUGAUUAAUUGAAAUCUCCUUCUAAUUAACUCCCUAAUAUUGCAUUAACUCGAUCUAUGGAUUCUAUUAUUAGGUUUCACCCUAAUCCGAUAAAAUCCUAUCACCCUAUCUCUAGGCGUGCAAUCAACUCCACUCAAUUAUGCUAGCUCUACUCUUAGAUAGAGACUUUUGCUCCUCUGAAUAAGCACAUCAAAACUUGAAUCAAUAUCCUGGAAUAUUAAAACAAGAAUUAAGAACACAUAAUUAAGAACAAGUCAAAUAUUUAUCAUACAAUUCAGAUAAUAAUAAGAUCCAUCUUAGGUUUCAUUCCCCUUAGGUUUUUAGGGGGUUUAGUUCAUAUUUAUGAAAGAAAACAUCUUAAAAGAAUAAUGAUAACAAAGCAUAAAGAAAACUCAAGAACUCUUAAAGGGAAUUGAAGGGAGAUCUUCAGUCUUGAAGGUGAAUUCGGCUUCUGAGAUGAAUCAAUCAGCUUUCUUCGAGUAAUUCCUUACCUCCUACUUCGCGUGUCCUCUCUAAUCCUCCUCUAGUGUGUUUAAAUAGGCUUUAGAAUGCCUAAAAUCCCUCAAGAAUGGCCUUUUUCGAAUAAGACUAAAAUUGGGCUCGACAGGGACACACCCGUGUUUAAUUUCUUCAAUUUGUGUUCAAGGCAGUCAAACUAACACGGGCAUGUGGUCUACCUGUAUAAGUCGUGCUCGAUUCUGCUAAAAAGACACGGACGUAUGGUUUGCCUAUGUACAGAAGUCCAGGCUAUGUUGAUUUCACUUGUUGGUCCAUUUUCUCUGUUUUCGGCCCAUUUCUCACUCUUUUUACUCUCCUAUGCUCACCUAAGUAUAAAACAUGAAAUUAAAAGAUUAGGAGUAUCGAAUUCACCAAAUCUAAGGAGAAAUCAUCCAUAAAUGUGCUAAGCAUGGGAUAAAAAUAUGUAUAAAUUGCGGUUUAUCACAAUUCCAGCACUAUUCUUUAGUACCAUUUUCGAAAUCUCAAGUUAGCCACUCCUAGAUAUUUUGAUUCAUACGAGUUAUGAUCCAAGAGAUGUUAAGGUUCUGCCAUUCUUCAAUGAUUGCACGGCAUUGUCUGAAGGCAUGGUGGUUGUCCUCUUCUUCGGAGCAACAUUGAGGACAUGUGACAUUUGGGAUCACUCGCUUAUGUCUAAGGUUGACAAGGGUAGGGAUAUAGUUCUUGGAGAUCUUUCAUAUUGUUAAUGUAUUUUUUUAUGGUAGUUGUAAAUCCCAUAGUUUUUUAUAGAAAUCUUUGAUUUCGGUCUGUAAUAAAUAACUAUUAAGAUCCAAGCUAGCAUAUUGUAAUAGUUUAUAGGCGCUUCGUACUAAGUAUUCUCCGGAAGGUUCUCUUUUCCACACUUGAAAGUCUUCAUGGUCUGCUUUUGCAAGAGGGAUCUGCAAGAUCUUUUGGGCAAUUUUUGUUUGGAAGGUAUUGUUGACUACCUCCGUUUUCCAUGUUUUAUUUUUCGUUAUCAGUUAGAUCCGAGACUAAUUGUAGUUCAUCAUUUUCCUCUCUGUUUUGCUAGCCAAGUACUUCAAUCCCUGGGAUCUAGCAAUCAUUCCAAAUAGAUAUCUCAUUCCUUCUUCCAACUCUCCAGCAAAGCCCAGUUUGAAGAAGACCCUUUGCUGCCCAAAUGCUCUUCCAAGUAAAUGAGGAUAGAUUUUCUGACUUUGUAUUUAGAAAAUUGGAAUUUGGAAAAUAAUUUUUUUAAGAACUCUAUCCAAAAGAGAAUUUGGAGAGUUAAGAAGGUGCCAGCCAUGCUUGGCUAAUAACAUAAUAUUGAAUUGACAAAAAUUUCGAAAACCCAAACCGCUAUUCUCUUUUAAACUGCAAAUGUUUUUCCAAGAACACCAGUGAAUUCCCUUCUUCCUACGUCCCUUUUGCCACUAAGAAUUGGUAAUAAUACCUUCCAGUUCAUCAAAUUAUGAUUUUGGUAAUAAAAAAGAUCUAUUGAAUAUGUCGGUAUAGUUUAUAAAACAGCCUUUAUGAAUAUUUCCUUACCACCCUAAGACAGAUAUCUGAUACCCCAGUUAUCAAUGUGCUACUUUAGUCAAUCUUUUAAAACUUGAAAGGAUUUCUUUUUUUUUCUACCAACUAUACUCGAAAACCCUAAGUUCCUUUUCGGUUCACUUGAGCUAUAAACUCCUAGCUGAUUCACAACCAAUUGCCUAUCUUCCUCCGAUGUAUUUUUACUAAAAAAGACAGUUGAUUUGUCAAAGUUCACAUACUGAACCGAACCUUUUUUGUACUCACGUAGAAUCUCCUUAAUUAUGCAAGCUCCUCUCCUUGUUGCCUUCCUAAAUAAGAUGCAAUCAUCUGCAAAUAAUAAGUGGGGCACCUGUGGACAGCUUCUGUUAACCUUGACACAUUUUAAGAGCACUUCUCUUGUUGUUAAUCUCAUUAGGCAUGAUAAACCCUCUCCACAUAUUAGGAAUAAAAAGGGACUCAAGGGAUCACCUUGUCGAAGUCCCCUAAUUGGAUAGAAAACUUGUCCAAUAUUUCCAUUAAACACAACGGAAUAAGAAACAGUAAACAUGCAUUUCAUAAUAGAAUCAGUCCAUUUUUGAGCAAAUCCUAUUCGACUCAUUACCUCCCUAACAAAGUUCCAUUCAACUCUAUCAUAAGCCUUACUCAUGUCUAAUUUGACCGUCAUAAGACCCUUCUUCCCCAAUCUAUCUAUUUCAGUGAAUGUAGAAUUUCGUAGGCUAAUAAUACAUUAUCCAAUAUUAGUCUUCCUAGCACAAAAACACUCUGUGCUUCAUCAAUGCAUUUAUCAAUAACUCUUUAAAGUCUGUUUAGUAUAGCCUUUGUCAAUAUUUUAUAAAUAACAUUGCAUAAGCUAAUAGGUCGGAUAUGUGUCAUAUUAGAAGGGUUGGUGAUUUUUGGGAUAACCACAAUGUGUGUUGAAUUUGUUGGACUAACCUCUAUAUCUCCAUUCAAAAUGUGUAGACAAAAAGAAACAACAUAUUCCCCAAUGAUAUUCCAGGAUCUUUGAUAAAAUAUGGCUAGGAAUUCGUCCUCCUUUGGUGCCUUUGUAGAUCCCAUUUCGAACAAUGCAUCACGAAUUUCCUCUCCAGUGUACGACGUUAUAAGUUUUCUAUUAUCUUCCUCGUAAACAUAAUGAUCAAUACCCGUAAGUAAGUGUUCGUAGAUGAUCGUAUUCCCUGUUGUGAAUAAAUUCUGAAAAUAAGCUCGUACAAUACCCUCCAUUUUCUAAUGGUCUUUCGUUUCCCCUCCACUUUCAUUUUGUAGCUUAUUAAUCUGGUUUCUCCGCUGCCUCUAUGUUGCUUGGCUAUGAAAAAAAGUUGUAUUUCUAUCACCAAAUUUUAGCUAGUUCAAUUUAGCCCAUUGUUCCUAGUAAUAUUCAUCCUUUUCAAUCUCAAAGUUUAGCUGAAUCUUCAUAUCAAUCAUCUCAGUCAAAUUCUUAUCAUCCCUUUCAGCUUCAACCAGUUCUGAUAAUUUUGUUGUUAAGAACUCAUUUCUCCUCUUCUUGUUCAUUUGUAUUCGCCCAACCCAUUUUUUCAAACCCUUUCUUAAGAAUUCCAACUUUUGCAAAAAAAUCCCCUGAUGCCAUUUCCCAUAUGUGUUUGACUUCAUCAACAAAAGAGUCCUCCAAUGUCCACCAAGCUUCAAAUUUAAAACUGUUUCCUUUUCGUCUUUCUUCUUCCCUUUUUGUGACAACUAAAAGAGGACAAUGAUCUGAAAAGAAGGCACGAGAUACUGAAUUUUUGCCUCGGGAAACAUUGACAUCCAUUUCGCAUCGACUACUCCCCUAUCCAGUCAUUCUUGUAUGUUUGUCUCUGGUAAAUUUCCUCUUUCCCAAGUAAACCAAGAACCAGAAAACCCCAGAUCAUUUAAUUGACAUUCCUCUAAUGUUUUUCGAAAUAGUUCCAUUCUUCUUUCAUCUCUAGGCAACCCUCCUUUUUUUUCAAACCCAUAUAUAAUUUCAUUGAAAUUUCCACAUACAAACCAAGAGAUAUAUUCAUCAUGAUAAAGAUUUUUCAAAACAGCCCAUGAGUCUUCUCUAUCUUGAGCAUACGGGGUUUCAUAGAAACCUAUAAAUCGCCACUUUCACUAUCAUGUCAAUACGUUUUCUAGAAAAGUUCUGAAGUGUGAUAUAAGUGUCAUUACGCCAUGCCAAACAUAAUCCUCCUUUAGUUCCUUCUGAGCCAACAUCGAUACCAUUUGCAAAGCCACAACUUCGUGGAACUCUUUCCAUCUGUAUUCUACAAAGCUUAGUCUCCAUAAAGAAGACUAAUUGGGGAUUAUAGACCUUAAGUGAAUGUCGAAGUUUUCAAAUUGUCCGUGAGCUCCCCAAACCACGGACAUUCCAGCUUAGGAUUUUCAUUGCGUGCCCAAUCUGCUUGCCUCUUGGCAGCCGCCGAUGAUAAAUGAUUUAGUUCUACCAUUCUCCUAUUUCUUGACAAUACCUUAUUAAUUUCAUCUUUUUCUGGUAAGUCAUCAAUUUCACCUCUAGAUCUCUUCUUCCCAUCUUCUCUUAUUAGUGCUGCAUCAUCCAGAUCAUGGUCCAUCGUGGUAUGGGCCUGAUCUACCAAUGUACUCACCAUCCGUUGGCCAACAAAAGAUGAUCCCCCUUCCAAAUUAAAACCAAGAACUGGAUCCACAAUUUUUUCGAAUCUCUUUUUAUUUUUUGCCUUCCACUGACUAUUCUCUAAACUUCUAUUAUUUUGAUAUAUUCCUCCCGCAUUCCCCUCUCUUUCCUCACGUAGCCAUAUACUAUUCAUAGCCAAAACUCUUCGAGACUGAGCUCACAAAGAUAAAUCCCAGCCCAUUUCAGCAACUUCCAUCCUGAGUGUCAUCUUUGUUUCACAAAAAGAGUCACUAUGGCCCAAUGUUCCACAAUUGAAACAGAAUAAUGAUAAUCUCUCCUAUUUAAAACUGACAUAUGAAUGCCUUACACGGUACCAAAUUUGUUUUCUUCUUUUCAAAGGAUGCCUUACAUCAAUUUGAAUUCUUAUUCUCAUGAAAUUUUUAUUCUCUUUUCCCAUAUUUGAUCCAUCAUAUUCUAGAAAAUCUCCUAAAAAAUUACCUAGUUGCAUCGCCAAAUUUUCAGAAAAUAGACCAAUACGAACAUCGUGGAUCUGUACCCAGAAAGGUGUGAAGACUAAAGGCACUUGUAAUGGAUCCUCCCCCCAUUGUAGUUUGUAAAAAACCAGUAGAUGAUUAUUAAAGGUCUAAGGAAAUCCCUUAAUAAGCCUUUCCAAGUCCAUAAUUUGAACAAAUUGAAACAAAUACCUUUUCUCCCCCAGAUAUAGGAUUUGAAUUCCUCUAAUAAGAUGCCAUAGAUUCGCCAAAGUACUCUUCAUUGCUAGAAAGUGGAUAAUUCUGGCUGUCAAGAAACAACCCACAAGUUGAAAAAUCUCCCCCACUCUUUACCUUUUCAGAUCUAUUUGUAUUUGAAUAAUUUCAUUUUUUUCUUCAUUAAUCAACAGUUGAGCUAAUUCGUUUUCCAUCGAUGCAGGUGCAGAUCUCGAUCUUGGCUAUCCUUCUUCAUAUUGUAGGAGACCAAUAUGCAAGGUGUGCCGAUUUCAAACAACAGAAACCUAAUAAAAAAACCUAAAACUCUUGCCAGAGACGACAGACAAUAACAAUAUUUUUUUCUUUAAUACGCCUAUAUCAAGAACUUCAUCAACAGCUAAUUGCAAUCUUAAGUCGUAAAACAUGUACUUUUAAAAUAAUAAAAUCUUAAGUUGAACCAAAUUAAAAGAUAACAUAAUAUUACAAGUAUUGUUUAAAAUCUCUAAAAAUUUAGAUUAAAAAUAAUAUUAAAAUAGAAAACUAAAAGGUUCCGAUGAAAGAACC
Molecule: long non-coding RNA, 17438 nt
Filed under: Gossypium barbadense (sea-island cotton)
Lineage: Eukaryota; Viridiplantae; Streptophyta; Magnoliopsida; Malvales; Malvaceae
Description: long non-coding RNA (GBAR_LNC009960)
Rfam family: Plant small nucleolar RNA R71 (bases 10362-10468)
Source: RNAcentral